RNAcentral lists this ribosomal RNA (465 nucleotides) under uncultured bacterium. RNAcentral's name for it is "partial 16S ribosomal RNA". It matches the Rfam family "Bacterial small subunit ribosomal RNA", at positions 28 to 507 of the family's 1533-position model. The record is from RNAcentral.
GACGAACGCUGGCGGCGUGCUUAACACAUGCAAGUCGAACGGAAAGGCCCCUUUGGGGGUACUCGAGUGGCGAACGGGUGAGUAACACGUGAGUAACCUGCCCUUGACUUCGGGAUAACUUCAGGAAACUGGGGCUAAUACCGGAUAGGAAUCCUUGCUGCAUGGUGGGGGUUGGAAAGCUUCGGCGGUUUUGGAUGGACUCGCGGCUUAUCAGCUUGUUGGUGGGGUAGUGGCUUACCAAGGCUUUGACGGGUAGCCGGCCUGAGAGGGCGACCGGCCACAUUGGGACUGAGAUACAGCCCAGACUCCUACGGGAGGCAGCAGGGGGGAAUAUUGCACAAUGGGCGGAAGCCUGAUGCAGCAACGCCGCGUGCGGGAUGACGGCCUUCGGGUUGUAAACCGCUUUCAGCAGGGGCGAAGCUUGUGGUGACGGUACCUGCAGAAGAAGCACCGGCUAACUACGUG